UGGCGAACGGGUGAGUAACGCGUGAGGAACCUGCCUCAAAGAGGGGGACAACAGUUGGAAACGACUGCUAAUACCGCAUAAGCCCACGACCCGGCAUCGGGUAGGGGAAAAGGAGCAAUCCGCUUUGAGAUGGCCUCGCGUCCGAUUAGCUAGUUGGUGAGGUAACGGCCCACCAAGGCGACGAUCGGUAGCCGGACUGAGAGGUUGAACGGCCACAUUGGGACUGAGACACGGCCCAG
Molecule: ribosomal RNA, 239 nt
Filed under: uncultured bacterium
Lineage: Bacteria
Description: partial 16S ribosomal RNA
Rfam family: Bacterial small subunit ribosomal RNA
Source: RNAcentral